Molecule: long non-coding RNA, 1088 nt
Organism: Trifolium pratense (red clover)
Lineage: Eukaryota; Viridiplantae; Streptophyta; Magnoliopsida; Fabales; Fabaceae
Exons: 3
Source: RefSeq, a predicted model, not a curated record
GUUGAAAAAUUUCACAUCAUCGUAUUACAAGUACAAAUCUAAACUACAUAGAAAUAGAAACUAGUUUUCUUCCAUUCUACAAAUCACGAAACCCUUUCAUAUGAGAAGAUCAAAAUCCCUACUCCAAAUCACAAACAACAAAUCCCUAAAUCCCUUUGGUGCAAAAUUAUCAAUUCCAAGAACCCUAAAUCCCUAAAUUUCUUAUCAUUCUCAGUUGAUAAAUCCCAAACGACUCACAAACCCUUCGAAACUGACUAAUCCCUUCUCGAUUGGUUUCGUUCCCACUGAAUAUCCCUCCAAUUGAAAUUAUCCCUGAAUAUCCCUCUCACGAAGCAAAAAUAAAAGUAUGAAUCCCUAAUCCCUCUCCCAGUCACGAUGCUUCAAUCCCUAAUUCCUCUUACGGAGCUUCAAUCUCUUAGCCACCGAUUCUAUUUAUUGAAUCGGAGUUUAGUUCGAAGCUCAAUCGUAGUAUCAACAACGCCUCAGCUCGAAGUUUAAUAUCAAUUUCGACAGAUGCUGUUUAUAGUCCAUACUCCAACUCUGCCUUUCUUUGAUCAAGACAUUUGUUGUUGCUUAAGAUAGAGUGUCUUCAAGAAGGCACAUGUGGUGUAUUUUUUUAAUAUCUGAUUUUCAUGUACAAGACUGUUAACAAAAUUCUGGUGCAAAUAGGAUGUUUCUGCUGAUGCUGGUUGUUGUUAGGGGUGGUACAGUUACUCUAUGUUAUAAUUAUAUUCUCUGAAUUUUAAUUAGAUAGUUGAUCUGCUCAUUGUUUCUUUUCAAUUUUCUCUGAAUUUUAAUUAUAUAACUUUUAUUUUGCAGAUGAUGAAUAACGAUAUCGAUGAAGAAAUGCAAGAUUUUGAAGAUGAAGAGGUGUAGAUGUUUAAGUUUUUUUAAUAGGAUAUACAUUUUGAAGAUGAUAGUUUGAUGGUGAAUGAUUCACAUUAGGAUAUACAUUUAAUAUGUUGGUUUGAUUGUGAAUGAUUGACAAUAUUUAGGACAACUUUAUGUUGAUUGAUGUUAUUUUGAUACUGUAUAUAUGAAAGAUAAUCAUUUUAGUUUAAUAAUUUGUUAUGUCUUUUAUUAUUUCA